RNAcentral lists this long non-coding RNA (483 nucleotides) under Bemisia tabaci. RNAcentral's name for it is "lncRNA ENSASIAIIG002259". Lineage: Eukaryota; Metazoa; Arthropoda; Insecta; Hemiptera; Aleyrodidae. The record is from RNAcentral.
CCAUGGUCUAAAACGUAAAAGCCGUUCAAACAUCAUUUAGGGUGAUUAAUUGCAGUAAAAGGGUGGAGUAAAGAUUUCAUUUCCGAUGUAAUGUUGCUGUUCACCUCCAGUUGGGUAUGAUAUUCGAUUUCUUGCAAGUGGCACUUGUCAUCCCCGGCAAAAACACCCGAAGAGAUUGACAAGAUAAUGAAGGAACAUGAUAUUGUCAAUCAUCCCCCGAAGCAUAAACUGAAGGAAUCAUUAUUGCCACACAGAAGCAGUAUUGAAAUUAGCUGAUGGCGCAUUGAGUUACAAAUUAAGGAACAAAUGAAAAGACGAUCCAUGCGGGACAUUAAUUCUAGUUCCUACUGCGAAAUUAAAGUAGUAAUAUAACUUGCGACUAAUUACACCUUAGCGGCACAGAAACGGAGAACACUUAGUGAACAAUUUAAGGUGAGAUAAUUCUAAUCACUAAUCUUAUGAAAACACUUGAGCUGUAAAUCA